ACUACGGGCGGCUGCAGUGGGGAAUAUUGCACAAUGGGCGCAAGCCUGAUGCAGCCAUGCCGCGUGUGUGAAGAAGGCCUUCGGGUUGUAAAGCACUUUCAGCGGGGAGGAGGGCGGUGAGGUUAAUAACCUCAUCGAUUGACGUUACCCGCAGAAGAAGCACCGGCUAACUCCGUGCCAGCAGCCGCGGUAAUACGGAGGGUGCAAGCGUUAAUCGGAAUUACUGGGCGUAAAGCGCACGCAGGCGGUCUGUCAAGUCGGAUGUGAAAUCCCCGGGCUCAACCUGGGAACUGCAUUCGAAACUGGCAGGCUAGAGUCUUGUAGAGGGGGGUAGAAUUCCAGGUGUAGCGGUGAAAUGCGUAGAGAUCUGGAGGAAUACCGGUGGCGAAGGCGGCCCCCUGGACAAAGACUGACGCUCAGGUGCGAAAGCGUGGGGAGCAAACAGGAUUAGAUACCCCGGUAGUC
Molecule: ribosomal RNA, 465 nt
Filed under: uncultured Klebsiella sp.
Lineage: Bacteria; Pseudomonadati; Pseudomonadota; Gammaproteobacteria; Enterobacterales; Enterobacteriaceae
Description: bacterial SSU rRNA
Rfam family: Bacterial small subunit ribosomal RNA
Source: RNAcentral